Molecule: long non-coding RNA, 439 nt
Filed under: Marmota monax (woodchuck)
Lineage: Eukaryota; Metazoa; Chordata; Mammalia; Rodentia; Sciuridae
Source: RNAcentral
CUUUCUUCCUGGCCACCUCAUCUCAAAACUCAGCCUCCUGUCCAUGCCAGAUGGACCCCAGGGCUCCCGGUCGUCUGUCAGGCCUUCCCAGGGGAUAUUCUACUCCGGAAAUAAGGCCAGAUUUUAAAAUGGGGAGGAAGGGAGGGAGGAAAAAAAAAGAGAAGCUAAGAAAGCCACCAUCUCUGUGUUCUGUCAGCAGAGUGGGUUGGAUUUUGGAGGCUGUAGCCCUGAUCCUGCAGGUUUUAGGUUGGUACAGCUCAUUGGGGAAUAAACUCAGCCCCCAAACUGGGGCCUACCUUGCUGAGAGCCAGGUGGGCCCCAGGGGAUCUUGGUGAGUGGGGGCUGGAGCACAGAGGGGCCAGGGACAGAUGGUAGGCCUUGCUCGGUGGCUCAUAGAUUGGUGACCUGGGACAUGGCUCCUCUACGCAGCUAAUUUCCU